UUCCGUAGGGGGUGACCUGCGGAGGGAUCAUUACUGAGUUUACGCUCUAUAACCCUUUGUGAACAUACCUAUAACUGUUGCUUCGGCGGGUAGGGUCUCCGCGACCCUCCCGGCCUCCCGCCUCCGGGCGGGUCGGCGCCCGCCGGAGGAUAACCAAACUCUGAUUUAACGACGUUUCUUCUGAGUGGUACAAGCAAAUAAUCAAAACUUUUAACAACGGAUCUCUUGGUUCUGGCAUCGAUGAAGAACGCAGCGAAAUGCGAUAAGUAAUGUGAAUUGCAGAAUUCAGUGAAUCAUCGAAUCUUUGAACGCACAUUGCGCCCGCCAGCAUUCUGGCGGGCAUGCCUGUUCGAGCGUCAUUUCAACCCUCAAGCUCUGCUUGGUGUUGGGGCCCUACAGCUGAUGUAGGCCCUCAAAGGUAGUGGCGGACCCUCCCGGAGCCUCCUUUGCGUAGUAACUUUACGUCUCGCACUGGGAUCCGGAGGGACUCUUGCCGUAAAACCCCCCAAUUUUCCAAAGGUGACCUCGGAUCAGGCCGUAGGACCCCC
Molecule: ribosomal RNA, 548 nt
Filed under: Colletotrichum sp. EF33
Lineage: Eukaryota; Fungi; Ascomycota; Sordariomycetes; Glomerellales; Glomerellaceae
Description: eukaryotic LSU rRNA
Rfam family: 5.8S ribosomal RNA (bases 206-359)
Source: RNAcentral